RNAcentral lists this ribosomal RNA (603 nucleotides) under uncultured bacterium. Its description in RNAcentral is "bacterial SSU rRNA". It matches the Rfam family "Bacterial small subunit ribosomal RNA", at positions 338 to 944 of the family's 1533-position model. The record is from RNAcentral.
CCUACGGGAGGCAGCAGUGAGGAAUAUUGGACAAUGGGCGCAAGCCUGAUCCAGCCAUGCCGCGUGCAGGAAGACGGUCCUAUGGAUUGUAAACUGCUUUUGUACAGGAAGAAACACUCCCUCGUGAGGGAGCUUGACGGUACUGUAAGAAUAAGGAUCGGCUAACUCCGUGCCAGCAGCCGCGGUAAUACGGAGGAUCCAAGCGUUAUCCGGAAUCAUUGGGUUUAAAGGGUCCGUAGGCGGUUUAAUAAGUCAGUGGUGAAAUCUGGUCGCUCAACGAUCAAACGGCCAUUGAUACUGUUAGACUUGAAUUAUUAGGAAGUAACUAGAAUAUGUAGUGUAGCGGUGAAAUGCUUAGAUAUUACAUGGAAUACCAAUUGCGAAGGCAGGUUACUACUAAUGGAUUGACGCUGAUGGACGAAAGCGUGGGGAGCGAACAGGAUUAGAUACCCUGGUAGUCCACGCCGUAAACGAUGGAUACUAGCUGUUCGGAGCAAUCUGCGUGGCUAAGCGAAAGUGAUAAGUAUCCCACCUGGGGAGUACGUUCGCAAGAAGAGAAUAAUAGAGUAGAGNGNGAGAGNGCGAGAGACACGAGGGAGGAGG